AGAGUUUGAUCCUGGCUCAGAAUGAACGCUGGCGGCGUGCUUAACACAUGCAAGUCGCACGAGAACACCUUGCUUCGGCGAGGUAAGUAAAGUGGCGCACGGGUGAGUAACGCGUGGGUAAUCUACCCUUGAAUUUGGGAUAACAUUGCGAAAGCGAUGCUAAUACCGAAUGAAGUCUAUUAUUUUUAGGAAUGAUAGAUGAAAGAUGGCCUCUACAUGUAAGCUAUUGUUUGGGGAUGAGCCCGCGUACCAUUAGCUAGUUGGAAGGGUAACGGCCUACCAAGGCAACGAUGGUUAGCUGGUCUGAGAGGAUGAUCAGCCACACCGGAACUGACACACGGUCCGGACUCCUACGGGAGGCAGCAGUGAGGAAUUUUGCGCAAUGGGGGAAACCCUGACGCAGCAACGCCGCGUGAGUGAUGAAGGCCUUCGGGUCGUAAAGCUCUGUCAGGUGGGAAGAAUCCGCUAUGUAAGAAACGACAUAGCGCUGACGGUACCACCGAAGGAAGCACCGGCUAACUCCGUGCCAGCAGCCGCGGUAAUACGGAGGGUGCAAGCGUUAUUCGGAUUUAUUGGGCGUAAAGAGCGCGUAGGCGGCCUUUCAAGUCAGAUGUGAAAUCCCGGGGCUUAACCCCGGAAGAGCA
Molecule: ribosomal RNA, 644 nt
Filed under: uncultured bacterium
Lineage: Bacteria
Description: bacterial SSU rRNA
Rfam family: Bacterial small subunit ribosomal RNA
Source: RNAcentral